UCAAGAUGGAGCAGGGUAUAGAGAAGCCAUUAGGGAUGAUACAGAACACCACCAAAGGAGCUCCUUCUGGGAUUCUCUAUUGGCUGAACUCAGCCAGAAGCUGCCAAGGGAGACCCCCACAACUGGAUGCAGCCCACUGAAGUCAGCUUCCUGGGGUGCGUAGCUGAAGGUAGCAGGGAGCAAAAAGAAUCUGAAGGGGAAGUGAACAAUGUAGAGCGUAUCUGUGCUGAAGACGUAAGGAGAGAGUGGAGGUCAGAAGCUGGCAUGGUCCCUGGUGCAUGUAUCAGCCGCUAAAGAAGUGGAGAGUAUGAACAUAAGCAAGAGGAAGUGAUGAGUAUCCCUUCCAGGAGAACUCUAAGAGGCAGUGAGUGAUUUGCUGGGCUCCCAAGCCCUCUGCUCUGAUGACAGCAAAGCCCCAAAUCAUGGUGCCUCCAUCAGUCGGGACCCCUCAGCAGAGCCAGCUUCACAGCUGGAGUGGAUGAAUCAGAACUUUCCCCAUGGGAGCAUUUAUAAAAAGGGGACACCCAGCGCAGAAGAUGUUUUCCAGGGAGAUCUCGGGGAGCCCAACAAGCCAAGAAGAGCAGAGCAAAGCAUUCCAAGGAAGGACUCUAAGUCUGCAACCGAGCACACACGAGGGUAGCCUACGCAUGUACGUCUUGCAGUGAUGGCAAGGAGCAGGAGAAAGAAAGCCCAUCCAAACAAGCAUAUUGGAAGCCUAUGUAUCCCAUAAGCUGACAUCUUGUUGCCCAAAGCAUGUCAUGUGCGUGGUCCAGAGUCAGUGUUGAAGGGCUCUGCAAAAUCACAUGGUAAAGACUGUGGUUUCAGGGAGGAGUGAAGAUUUGUGCGCAUUGCUCCAAUUGACAACCAUGGCACUAGGCUCAGGCCACACUUCUUCCUAACAAGAGAGCAAGUCAAAGCGUGGUUAGUUAAAGUCCAUACAAAAACUCACUUUAACAGGCCUCCUCUGGAUUGAACAGCUGAUAUUAAGUCAUAAGGUACCACAUCAGAAAGAUACUGGGUAUCUUUGGUUCAGCAAUUCCAUCACCAGGGACUUUUUCAUCCUAAGGAAAUCACUGCACGGUGGACAAAGAUAUAUGCAUAAGGAUGCUCCUUCUGGCCAAAGACCAAAAACAUAACUGGCCAUCAGUAAAAGCCAACACAAGGAAAGACCAUGUGAAUACACAGCAAGAACGUGGUGCUCUGCAAGUCAGAAACAGACCCGUCAUCAGACACCAAAUCAGCCAGCACCUUGAUCUAGGAUUUCUGGCCUCCAAAACAGUGAGAAAAUAAAAUUCUGUUGUUUAAGCCAUGCAGCCUGUUGUAUUUCAUUAUGGCAGCCUGAG
Molecule: long non-coding RNA, 1343 nt
Filed under: Homo sapiens (human)
Lineage: Eukaryota; Metazoa; Chordata; Mammalia; Primates; Hominidae
Description: HSALNT0405440
Source: RNAcentral